This 73-nucleotide transfer RNA is filed under the name Butea monosperma (flame-of-the-forest). Its description in RNAcentral is "tRNA-Glu". Lineage: Eukaryota; Viridiplantae; Streptophyta; Magnoliopsida; Fabales; Fabaceae. The record is from RNAcentral.
AAUUUUCAAUAAAAACUGAAAUGUAUUCUUCCUGUUCCUGGGUCGAUGCCCGAGCGGUUAAUGGGGACGGACU